UGGGCUCUGAGAAUUCAUAUAAGACAAGCAGGAUUGGGCUCUUAAUUCCUAAAUUCUUCUUCCCGCAAUGCCCUCAAGUCAUGUAGUCCUCCAGGUAAGUUGGCUUUUUCACCCUUCUCUUAUUCUUGGUCUCUCCUUCCUCCUGCACCCUUGCCAUUGGUGCUUCCUGCGUAUUCCUAUCAUUCCAUGGCCCCUAAAAAUCCACCUUGUCCUCAAGGUGGUAAGCUUGGCAUAGUGUUGCCCAAUUCUCCCAAGAUGCUUCAUCAGGGGACAUUCCCUG
RNAcentral lists this long non-coding RNA (280 nucleotides) under Glycine max (soybean). RNAcentral describes it as "long non-coding RNA (GMAX_LNC003973)". Lineage: Eukaryota; Viridiplantae; Streptophyta; Magnoliopsida; Fabales; Fabaceae. The record is from RNAcentral.